This 575-nucleotide ribosomal RNA is filed under the name uncultured bacterium. RNAcentral's name for it is "bacterial SSU rRNA". It matches the Rfam family "Bacterial small subunit ribosomal RNA", at positions 8 to 564 of the family's 1533-position model. The record is from RNAcentral.
AGAGUUUGAUCCUGGCUCAGAACGAACGCUGGCGGCGUGGCUAAGACAUGCAAGUCGAACGGGCUAUCCAAUUGAGUAAUCGAGAGGAUAGUUAGUGGCGAAAGGGUGAGUAACGGAUAGGUAACGUACCCUGUGCUUCGGAAUAGCGUCGUUCGCCUUCGGGCGAACUACCGAAAGGGGCGGUAAUACCGAAUAAUAUCACUUGUCGACGGACAAAUGAUCAAAGAUUUAUCGGCGCGGGAGCGGCCUAUCUCUUAUCAGCUUGUUGGUGAGGUAAAAGCUCACCAAGGCUAUGACGGGUAGCGGGACUGAGAGGUUGACCCGCCACAUCGGGACUGAGACACUGCCCGGACCUCCACGGAGGGCUGCAGUAACGAAUCUUGCGCAAUGGGCGAAAGCCUGACGCAGCGACGCCGCGUGUGGGAUGAAGUCUUUCGGGAUGUAAACCACUGUCAGGGGUAAGAAAGUCCACCUCGGUGGAUUGAUCUAACCCAAAGGAAGUCACGGCUAACUUCGUGCCAGCAGCCGCGGUAAGACGAAGGUGGCAAGCGUUGUUCGGUAUUACUGGGCUUAAA